AAAGGGAGACCUAAUUCGGGUAGAAGACGAAAAAAUAGUAGUCGAAACCAAGAAUCAAUCCCAAAAGGUCGGAGCGAGGCAAAAUUGGCUUUCAAACUAGGUUCUGGGUUCAUAAAAGACCUGAAUCAGGAACAAGGGCUAUUAGCUCAGGUGGUUAGAGCGCACCCCUGAUAAGGGUGAGGUCCCUGGUUCGAGUCCAGGAUGGCCCACCUGCACAGGUGGCAAAAACAAGAGAAGCGAGGAAUCAGCACCUUAUCUUACUUAUAUAGUAGGAGAGAAUGCUGGCUCUGAGUACAGAGUCCAGAGGAACCUUGAAAACUGCAUAGAGCUAGGUGAAAAAGCCAAAAAAGAAGACCGCAAG
Molecule: transfer RNA, 361 nt
Filed under: uncultured Microcystis sp.
Lineage: Bacteria; Bacillati; Cyanobacteriota; Cyanophyceae; Chroococcales; Microcystaceae
Description: partial 16S-23S ribosomal RNA intergenic spacer
Rfam family: tRNA (bases 136-209)
Source: RNAcentral